AGACUGAAACUCAAAGGAAUUGACGGGGGCCCGCACAAGCGGGUGGAGCAUGUGGUUUAAUUCGAAGCAACGCGAAGAACCUUACCAGGUCUUGACAUCCUCUGACAAUCCUAGAGAUAGGACUUCUCCUUCGGGGGCAGAGUGACAGGUGGUGCAUGGUUGUCGUCAGCUCGUGUCGUGAGAUGUUGGGUUAAGUCCCGCAACGAGCGCAACCCUUGAUCUUAGUUGCCAGCAUUCAGUUGGGCACUCUAAGGUGACUGCCGGUGACAAACCGGAGGAAGGUGGGGAUGACGUCAAAUCAUCAUGCCCCUUAUGACCUGGGCUACACACGUGCUACAAUGGACAGAACAAAGGGCAGCGAAACCGCGAGGUUAAGCCAAUCCCAUAAAACUGUUCUCAGUUCGGAUCGCAGUCUGCAACUCGCCUGCGUGAAGCUGGAAUCGCUAGUAAUCGCGGAUCAGCAUGCCGCGGUGAAUACGUUCCCGGGCCUUGUACACACCGCCCGUCACACCACGAGAGUUUGUAACACCCGAAGUCGGUGA
Molecule: ribosomal RNA, 542 nt
Filed under: Bacillus subtilis
Lineage: Bacteria; Bacillati; Bacillota; Bacilli; Caryophanales; Bacillaceae
Description: bacterial SSU rRNA
Rfam family: Bacterial small subunit ribosomal RNA
Source: RNAcentral